AGGCAUGCAAAGGCUGCUUUAUACAGAUGAUUGUGACACCGAACAUGAGGUUGAUUUGAAUGGUUAUCCUAAAGUGACCCGCCAAAUUGAAGGGCAAAUAUGCCACUGCUCUUGAAGUCUUAAAAUAGUAUCUCUUCUUGUUGAAUCCAUGGGAAUAGAAAAAAAGAAAUUGUGGUCAGGCCAUAUGAGAAGGAAUGCCAAAAAAAAGUCACCAUAUCCAUUUAGUACUUGGUAACAAAAGGUAAGAAAAGAUAUUGAAUACUGUACUAUUUUUAGUAUCCAUUCCCGCAUAGUGCUAAGUAUGUCUUGCGUCUAAAGCGUGUUACUCCUUCUACCUUCUCCACCUCUAACAGUAAUAAGCCCAGUCACCUAAGUUCAAACUCUGAGUCAACUUUGACUCAAGCUUCUCAUUGAUUCCCUAGAGCCAUUGGUUACCAAUUUAGAUUUCGUUAUCUCUUGAAACUGUUGUACCUCUAAGUACUCUAAAAUUCUCUUAUUUGAACAUGUCCACUUCCUUCCACCUUUCCUAGUCCAUACCCACUCUGCUUGUGCUUUUCUGUUUGGUAUUCUACAAGCCUUUUUCCCAUUCAACUUUUCCAUCUAUCUCAUGUCUGUCCCUACCCAACUAUUACUCUGCUGUCCAACAUGUCAGUACGUACUCAAAAGCACUCCUCAUUAAUUCGCUACCCAAUUCUCCAGUUGCUCCUAGCCCCAACCCUGGAAAUAGCCAUUGUCCAUUUUCUCCUCUACUGUUCCCAGACUAAUUAAUGCUGGUAGGCAAUGACAUACAAUAGUAGCAUGUUGAUCAGGCCCCUUGCAAGUGAAAGAAAAAUUCUAAAUUCAUUAGUUAGAAUUUUGAAAACAAAACAUCUGUCCUAAUACAUCUACUUGGUUCUGAAAAACUGUGAUUACUGUAAUUAUUGGAGGUUUCUGUAACCCGAAUACUUAACUGGGUCUUACAUGAAAAUUAUUUUUAAAAGAUUAAAAGUGGAGCGUCUAUUGUGCUGACAGAAUUUUCUUUAGGAUUUACGUGAGUCUAAUCUGAUAGAAUGGAGGAAUGUAAUUGAAAACUAGGAAGAGAAAUCUAGGCAUGGAACUUCAUCAUUCUAACAUUUUUUUCCCCCAAUUAAAAGCAACAUAUCAGCAUGUGUUUUUCAAAUACAGGCAGUCCCUAUCUUACAAGUGGCUUGUAGACAGAUGUAGGGCAUAUGAUUGUUUGAAUCCUGAUUACUCAAGUGGGAAAACUUUGCUUUAGAUGUCAGUUGUUUGGAAUCCAGAAAGCAUUUUCCUACCAAGGCAGUGUUAUAAAUGGUGGUUGGGCUCCCCUAGGAUAGCCAAUAAUGUUACUGAAAUACUAUAUAUUUGCAGUGAAACAGUAGUGAACACAUUUAUGAUAUACUACUAAUUAAACAAAAGCAAUAACAUUGAAUAAGAUCAUUUUAUAUUUUGGGCUUGAGUGGUGGUGCUUGAGGAAAAACAGGUUUAAUUAUAAGAGGAUGAAAAAGUAGAUGGAGACUGUGUGAAGUCUCAAAAUAGGGCUCAUGAGCAUUUUUGAAGACUUCAAAUGACACAUGUUCUUUAUCAAGUCAAACUGAUUUUAAAACUUGUGAAUUUCUACUUCCCUUUUUGUGGUUAUGAGUGUUUUGUAGUACAACUAUUGUGCUAUGAUUCUGGUCAGUUUUUGACUAGUGAUGAAAAUAAAACAAGGGAAGAGGAUAAAGAGGAGGAUAUGGUGCCAGAGGAAAAUUUUGAGAAGAGGGGGCUUAUAUGCAAAUGUGAGGAUUAAAAAAAACAACUUUAUACUUUAGCAUUCCACAAGCACCGGCAACCAAAGGAAAAGGAAUUUUUUUCUUUUUCCUUGCUUAGUUCUUAGGCCAUCCUGUAUAAAUAUCCUAAAUAGAGAUAAAAGUUGCAAUAAGUUAAAGAGGCUAAGUUGAGCCACACUAUAAGGAGAUGAUAUGUAAACCACAAAGCUUGCAUGAGCUGAGAUAGGAAAAUAGUUAUUUAUUUGCUUUUGUUGUUGUUAUUUGUUUUUUUGUCUUCAGUUAUGUCUUAAUCUGUUUAGUGUUGCUAUAAAGGAAUACCUGAGGCUGGGUAAUUUAUAAAGAAAAGAGAUUUAUUUGGCUCAUGUUUCUGCAGACUGCACAGGAAGCACAGUGCCAGCAUCUGCUUCUGGUGAGGGCUUUAGGUUAAUUCCACUUAUGGCAGAAGGAGAAGGGGAGCUGGCAUGUGCAGAGUCCAAAUGAGAAGAGAGAGAGAGGGAAGGGAGCUUACAGGACUUUUUGUUUUUGUUUUUUUGUUUUGUUUUUUGUUUUUGUUUUUAACAACCAGCUUUCUCAGGAACUAACAGAGCAAGAACUCACUCAUUACCACAAGGAAGACAUCAAGUCAUUCAUGAGGGAUCCACCUCCAUGACCCAAAUUCCUCCCAUCAGGCCCCACUUCCAACAUUGGGGAUCAAAUUUCAACAUGAGGUUUGGGGGAUAAACAUUUAAACUACAGAAAGUUGUAGGGGCUAUAUCUUGGAAGAGGGAAGGAUAUGUUGGAAGUGUGCUACCUUCUAAGUGUCAAAGGUUGAGUCAGAGGAAUAUAGAAAAAAAAGGCCAAGGUGGGCGGAUCACAAGGUCAGGAGACCAGCUUCGCCAACUUGGUGAAACCCCGUAUCUACAAAAAACUAUGUAUGCUGGGCGUGGUGGCGCACGUCUGUAAUCUCAGCUACUCGGGAGACUGAGGCAGGAUAAUCACUUGAACCUGGGAGGCGGAGGUUGCAGUGAGCUGAGAUGGUGCCACUGCACUCCAGCCUGGGUGGCAGAGCAAGACUCUGUCUCAAAAAAAAAAAAAAGGGUGUUAGUUCUGUUGAAUCCUCCUUUGAUAUCCUUGGAAUAUCAAGUAGGAUAUCAAAUCCUCCUUUGAUAUCCUACUUACAUUGUUUUUCAGUCAUGUUUUGUAUUCACAUUCAUUUUUACUUGGAUGUGACUCUGUACUGGUAGGGAACUAUGAAGUAGCUUGGCUUUAUUCAAGUUAUAUAUGUGUGAUAGAUUUCCCAAGAUCACAUUAAUUGAGCUGUCAGUGGGAGACAAAAGAGUAUGAUUACUCUAAAGAGGAAGAAUAGAGGAGGUAGAAGAAGAGAGAUAGAGAGCCACAUAGUUAAUUCUCUUUGCUGUUUACCAACUGAUCAACCAACAAUUAUUCAACAAAUUUUUCUUGUGCUGUGUUCUAGGCAAUGUGCUAAGUGCUUAGAGACGCAGUGAGAAAGUACUUGGAAUACGAUAGUAUACAUAUUACAUCUGCCCUCAUAUGUUUUACAGAGUGUGCAGGGGAGGGUACAGAUAAGUAGAUAAGGAAUUAUAAUGAAUUGUGUUAAGUGCUAAUGUGGAGGUACUGUUGAGUAUUAAGGGCAUAUAUAGAAAAAUCACCUAAAUCUGACUUUCAGAAUUAGCACACAUCCUAGAGCAUUCUAAACUCAUGUGAAAAGAUGUGUCAGAGUGAAACAGGAAAAGAGAAGUUAGGUGAGAGGCAAAUAUUCCUAACAGAAGAAAUAAUGUUUAAGAUUCAAUCAUAUGGCAAGAAGCCUAGAGAGAGUACUGGAAAAAAAAAUUGCCAAAGAGAGAUUUCUACUUCUGAAAAUUAUAUAGUAACUUGUGGCAGAACAAUGCUCUGCCAAGAAUAUCUACAUAAGCCAGAUAACAGACAAAAAGUCUGUUUGAAGGCAUUGGAAAGUAGCCAAGACAGCCAGGGCUUGAGAAGUUAAAAUCUCCAGCAAGGAAAACUACAAAGAAAUGAGGCAUAUUUCCUUUUGGGGCAUUUGCCAAUUCUUACAGCAUGAUACAGAGAAGUCACCAGAAGUUCCAGCUAUCUUAUAGGCUUAGAGAGAGAGGAAAACAGUGAGGGCUGUCAAGGCAGUCAGUACUGAAGGAGGCCAAAAUCCUGAAGAGAGUAGAUAAGUAGAGAAAGGAACUUGCGCUCAGUAGUUUUAACCUCCAGGCAUUUGCCAAAUCCUUAAGUUGUUCAUGGGACGAAAAAGCCUAACUCAUCAAGCAAUAAGUGACUGAAAAGCACUCAUAGUAUAAAAGAAAUAGAAAAUAACAUUCAGGGCCCUCCACAGAGGAGCAGCCCAAAGAAACACCCAAGAAUUUCAUUUGAGACUCUUAAAGAACCUACCCUUUAGGAAUUGGUAUGAACUAAAUAUAGACUGAACUUUUGAAAGACUGCAACUUCACCUAUUUGUUAGUUGAUUCCUUGGUUAGAUUAAGGUGAUCUGCCUCUACUCCAGCUGCCCAUAAAUGAUAGAGAGAACCCUCUCUGGAGGAAAAUAUCAUCUAGUGGCUCUAAGAUUUUUGCAAACAAAAUGUCUAUAUUUAAUCAUGCAUUAGUUGGCUUAUGAAGAAACUGAACCAAGGGAAAAAUCAGACAAUAGAAAUAGACCUACCAAUGAUUCAGAUAUUAACAUUCUCAUAGACUUUUAAAUUAGCAUGAUUUUUAAAAUUACUAUGAUUAAUAAGUUUAAGAAAAUAGAUGACAGUAUGGAGAAUCUCUCCAAGGAACUGGAAUCCAUUAAAAAAAAAAAAAAAAAAA
Macaca fascicularis (crab-eating macaque) is the source of this 4574-nucleotide long non-coding RNA. The record is from Ensembl. Lineage: Eukaryota; Metazoa; Chordata; Mammalia; Primates; Cercopithecidae.